GGAGGGGUCGGAUAACGGCUAUUCCAGCACUCUUGAAAAGUGCCGUCCGUAAGGACAUGCGAGUUCGAAUCUCGCCCCCUCCG
Molecule: transfer RNA, 83 nt
Filed under: Candidatus Parcubacteria bacterium
Lineage: Bacteria; Candidatus Parcubacteria
Description: tRNA-Ser
Rfam family: tRNA
About the family: Transfer RNA (tRNA) molecules are approximately 80 nucleotides in length.
Source: RNAcentral